GACUGUGGACCUCUGUGUGGAAUCAAAUCCUGAGUACUCCUUGUCUUUGAUUUGAACGACUAGCACUUGGCGAAAUAAUGGAAAGGUCUCUCUUAAAUGACAACCCCUGAAGUCCAGAUUAUCUAUUGUCAGCCAGACAUUCGUCAAGUCUGCCUCUUCUCUGUUUUCCACAUGGCCCUUCCUUGUCUGGCUUUGGAAAGAAGAUGCUUUAUACCAGAGAAAGACUGACCUUCACUACUGAGAUAAAGAGGAUCCUGUUGGGGAAGCCCUUUCUGCAGAUCCUGAUGCCUUCCAGCACACCAUUACAGCGCAGCUGGUGCAUCACCAGAGGGUUCUCCAUGGCCCCAGGAGUCUUGGUCUCAUUGGGGAUGAUGCAGCGUACAAAGUGAGGGUGAGUAGACCUCAAGUUGGUCAUCAGCUUGUUCAGGUUCU
Perca flavescens (yellow perch) is the source of this 432-nucleotide long non-coding RNA. RefSeq lists it as uncharacterized. The record is from RefSeq and is a predicted model, not a curated record. The transcript has 3 exons. Lineage: Eukaryota; Metazoa; Chordata; Actinopteri; Perciformes; Percidae.